AGUUAGAACCAGUGUGCCAGAUGAAUAUCAUCCGGCUCGAUGGAAACUAGUGUCGU
This 56-nucleotide small RNA is filed under the name Sinorhizobium meliloti 2011. Its description in RNAcentral is "putative ncRNA". Lineage: Bacteria; Pseudomonadati; Pseudomonadota; Alphaproteobacteria; Hyphomicrobiales; Rhizobiaceae. The record is from RNAcentral.